GAUGAACGCUGGCGGCGUGCCUAACACAUGCAAGUCGAGCGAUUCUCUUCGGAGAAGAGCGGCGGACGGGUGAGUAACGCGUGGGUAACCUGCCCUGUACACACGGAUAACAUACCGAAAGGUAUGCUAAUACGAGAUAAUAUGCUUUUAUCGCAUGGUAGAAGUAUCAAAGCUUUUGCGGUACAGGAUGGACCCGCGUCUGAUUAGCUAGUUGGUAAGGUAACGGCUUACCAAGGCGACGAUCAGUAGCCGACCUGAGAGGGUGAUCGGCCACAUUGGAACUGAGACACGGUCCAAACUCCUACGGGAGGCAGCAGUGGGGAACAUUGCACAAUGGGCGAAAGCCUGAUGCAGCAACGCCGCGUGAGCGAUGAAGGCCUUCGGGUCGUAAAGCUCUGUCCUCAAGGAAGAUAAUGACGGUACUUGAGGAGGAAGCCCCGGCUAACUACGUGCCGGCCGCCGCGGUAA
This 468-nucleotide ribosomal RNA is filed under the name uncultured bacterium. Its description in RNAcentral is "partial 16S ribosomal RNA". It matches the Rfam family "Bacterial small subunit ribosomal RNA", at positions 28 to 523 of the family's 1533-position model. The record is from RNAcentral.